Molecule: transfer RNA, 75 nt
Filed under: Dipodomys ordii (Ord's kangaroo rat)
Lineage: Eukaryota; Metazoa; Chordata; Mammalia; Rodentia; Heteromyidae
Rfam family: tRNA
About the family: Transfer RNA (tRNA) molecules are approximately 80 nucleotides in length. Their secondary structure includes four short double-helical elements and three loops (D, anti-codon, and T loops). Further hydrogen bonds mediate the characteristic L-shaped molecular structure. tRNAs have two regions of fundamental functional importance: the anti-codon, which is responsible for specific mRNA codon recognition, and the 3' end, to which the tRNAs corresponding amino acid is attached (by aminoacyl-tRNA synthetases). tRNAs cope with the degeneracy of the genetic code in two manners: having more than one tRNA (with a specific anti-codon) for a particular amino acid; and 'wobble' base-pairing, i.e. permitting non-standard base-pairing at the 3rd anti-codon position.
Source: Rfam by way of RNAcentral
GGGAAUGUGGCUUAGUGGUAGAGUGCUUGCCUAGCAUGCAAUGCAUGAAGCCCUGGGUUCGAUUCCUCAGUACCA